This 460-nucleotide ribosomal RNA is filed under the name uncultured bacterium. Its description in RNAcentral is "partial 16S ribosomal RNA". It matches the Rfam family "Bacterial small subunit ribosomal RNA", at positions 338 to 795 of the family's 1533-position model. The record is from RNAcentral.
CCUACGGGUGGCAGCAGUGAGGAAUAUUGGUCAAUGGCCGGAAGGCUGAACCAGCCAAGCCGCGUGAAGGACGAAGGUGCCAAGCAUUGUAAACUUCUUUUGUCAAGGGACAAAAUCAGGCUCGAGAGCCUGACCGAGGGUACUUGAAGAAAAAGCAUCGGCUAACUCCGUGCCAGCAGCCGCGGUAAUACGGAGGAUGCGAGCGUUAUCCGGAAUCAUUGGGCGUAAAGAGGGAGCAGGCGGCCUGGAGGGUCUAUUGUUAAAAGGCAGUGGCUUAACCAUUGCAAGGCGAAGAAACCGGCAGGCUAGAGUUCUAAAGAGGAUCGUGGAAUUCCAUGUGUAGCGGUGAAAUGCGUAGAUAUAUGGAGGAACACCAGUGGCGAAGGCGACGAUCUGGGAAGAAACAGACGCUGAGUCCCGAAAGCGUGGGGAGCAAAUAGGAUUAGAUACCCUUGUAGUC